Molecule: ribosomal RNA, 190 nt
Filed under: uncultured Planctomyces sp.
Lineage: Bacteria; Pseudomonadati; Planctomycetota; Planctomycetia; Planctomycetales; Planctomycetaceae
Description: partial 16S ribosomal RNA
Rfam family: Bacterial small subunit ribosomal RNA
Source: RNAcentral
UCCUACGGGAGGCAGCAGUCGAGAAUCUUCGGCAAUGGGCGCAAGCCUGACCGAGCGACGCCGCGUGUGGGAUGAAGGCCCUUGGGUUGUAAACCACUGUCAGAGGGGAUGAAGUGCCGGAGGGCAAUCUCUCCGGUUUGACAUAGCCUCAGAGGAAGCACGGGCUAAGUUCGUGCCAGCAGCCGCGGUA